AACGCGAAGAACCUUACCUGGUCUUGACAUCCACGGAAGUUUUCAGAGAUGAGAAUGUGCCUUCGGGAACCGUGAGACAGGUGCUGCAUGGCUGUCGUCAGCUCGUGUUGUGAAAUGUUGGGUUAAGUCCCGCAACGAGCGCAACCCUUAUCCUUUGUUGCCAGCGGUCCGGCCGGGAACUCAAAGGAGACUGCCAGUGAUAAACUGGAGGAAGGUGGGGAUGACGUCAAGUCAUCAUGGCCCUUACGACCAGGGCUACACACGUGCUACAAUGGCGCAUACAAAGAGAAGCGACCUCGCGAGAGCAAGCGGACCUCAUAAAGUGCGUCGUAGUCCGGAUUGGAGUCUGCAACUCGACUCCAUGAAGUCGGAAUCGCUAGUA
Molecule: ribosomal RNA, 382 nt
Filed under: uncultured Escherichia sp.
Lineage: Bacteria; Pseudomonadati; Pseudomonadota; Gammaproteobacteria; Enterobacterales; Enterobacteriaceae
Description: bacterial SSU rRNA
Rfam family: Bacterial small subunit ribosomal RNA
Source: RNAcentral